RNAcentral lists this ribosomal RNA (495 nucleotides) under uncultured bacterium. Its description in RNAcentral is "partial 16S ribosomal RNA". It matches the Rfam family "Bacterial small subunit ribosomal RNA", at positions 28 to 507 of the family's 1533-position model. The record is from RNAcentral.
GACGAACGCUGGCGGCGUGCCUAAUACAUGCAAGUCGAACGCUGAAGGAGGAGCUUGCUUCUCUGGAUGAGUUGCGAACGGGUGAGUAACGCGUAGGUAACCUGCCUGGUAGCGGGGGAUAACUAUUGGAAACGAUAGCUAAUACCGCAUAAUAGUAGAUGUUGCAUGACAUUUGCUUAAAAGGUGCAAUUGCAUCACUACCAGAUGGACCUGCGUUGUAUUAGCUAGUUGGUGAGGUAACGGCUCACCAAGGCAACGAUGCAUAGCCGACCUGAGAGGGGGAUCGGCCACACUGGGACUGAGACACGGCCCAGACUCCUACGGGAGGCAGCAGUAGGGAAUCUUCGGCAAUGGACGGAAGUCUGACCGAGCAACGCCGCGUGAGUGAAGAAGGUUUUCGGAUCGUAAAGAUCUGUUGUAAGAGAAGAACGAGUGUGAGAGUGGAAAGUUCACACUGUGACGGUAUCUUACCAGAAAGGGACGGCUAACUACGUG